CAGGCCUAACACAUGCAAGUCGAGCGGAAACGAGUUGUUUGAACCUUCGGGGGACGACAACGGCGUCGAGCGGCGGACGGGUGAGUAAUACCUGGGAAAUUGCCCUGAUGUGGGGGAUAACCAUUGGAAACGAUGGCUAAUACCGCAUGAUAGCUUCGGCUCAAAGAGGGGGACCUUCGGGCCUCUCGCGUCAGGAUAUGCCCAGGUGGGAUUAGCUAGUUGGUGAGGUAAGGGCUCACCAAGGCGACGAUCCCUAGCUGGUCUGAGAGGAUGAUCAGCCACACUGGAACUGAGACACGGUCCAGACUCCUACGGGAGGCAGCAGUGGGGAAUAUUGCACAAUGGGCGCAAGCCUGAUGCAGCCAUGCCGCGUGUAUGAAGAAGGCCUUCGGGUUGUAAAGUACUUUCAGCAGUGAGGAAGAUGGUGUGUUUAAUACGCGCAUCAUUUGACGUUAGCUGCAGAAGAAGCACCGGCUAACUCCGUGCCAGCAGCCGCGGUAAUACGGAGGGUGCGAGCGUUAAUCGGAAUUACUGGGCGUAAAGCGCAUGCAGGUGGUUUGUUAAGUCAGAUGUGAAAGCCCGGGGCUCAACCUCGGAAUAGCAUUUGAAACUGGCAGACUAGAGUACUGUAGAGGGGGGUAGAAUUUCAGGUGUAGCGGUGAAAUGCGUAGAGAUCUGAAGGAAUACCGGUGGCGAAGGCGGCCCCCUGGACAGAUACUGACACUCAGAUGCGAAAGCGUGGGGAGCAAA
This 750-nucleotide ribosomal RNA is filed under the name uncultured bacterium. Its description in RNAcentral is "bacterial SSU rRNA". It matches the Rfam family "Bacterial small subunit ribosomal RNA", at positions 43 to 772 of the family's 1533-position model. The record is from RNAcentral.